UACGGAGGAUGCGAGCGUUAUCCGGAUUUAUUGGGUUUAAAGGGUGCGCAGGCGGCACGGCAAGCCGGCGGUCAAAUCGCGGGGCUCAACCCCGCCCAGCCGUCGGAACUGCCGGGCUAGAGUGGGCGAGAAGUGCGCGGAAUGCGUGGUGUAGCGGUGAAAUGCAUAGAUAUCACGCAGAACUCCGAUUGCGAAGGCAGCAUACCGGCGCCCGACUGACGCUGAGGCACGAAAGCGUGGGGAUCGAACAGG
This 252-nucleotide ribosomal RNA is filed under the name uncultured bacterium. RNAcentral describes it as "partial 16S ribosomal RNA". It matches the Rfam family "Bacterial small subunit ribosomal RNA", at positions 524 to 776 of the family's 1533-position model. The record is from RNAcentral.